RNAcentral lists this ribosomal RNA (1031 nucleotides) under Neofusicoccum sinoeucalypti. RNAcentral's name for it is "SSU rRNA". Lineage: Eukaryota; Fungi; Ascomycota; Dothideomycetes; Botryosphaeriales; Botryosphaeriaceae. The record is from RNAcentral.
UCUAUACUGUGAACUGCGAAUGGCUCAUUAAAUCAGUUAUCGUUUAUUUGAUAGUACCUUACUACUUGGAUAACCGUGGUAAUUCUAGAGCUAAUACAUGCUAAAAACCCCGACUUCGGAAGGGGUGUAUUUAUUAGAUAAAAAACCAAUGCCCUUCGGGGCUCCUUGGUGAUUCAUGAUAACUUAACGAAUCGCAUGGCCUUGCGCCGGCGAUGGUUCAUUCAAAUUUCUGCCCUAUCAACUUUCGAUGGUAGGAUAGUGGCCUACCAUGGUAUCAACGGGUAACGGGGAAUUAGGGUUCUAUUCCGGAGAGGGAGCCUGAGAAACGGCUACCACAUCCAAGGAAGGCAGCAGGCGCGCAAAUUACCCAAUCCCGACACGGGGAGGUAGUGACAAUAAAUACUGAUACAGGGCUCUUUUGGGUCUUGUAAUUGGAAUGAGUACAAUUUAAAUACCUUAACGAGGAACAAUUGGAGGGCAAGUCUGGUGCCAGCAGCCGCGGUAAUUCCAGCUCCAAUAGCGUAUAUUAAAGUUGUUGCASUUAAAAAGCUCGUAGUUGAACCUUGGGCCUGGCUGGCCGGUCCGCCUCACCGCGUGUACUGGUCCGGCCGGGCCUUUCCUUCUGGGGAUCCUCAUGCCCUUCACUGGGUGUGCUGGGGAACCAGGACUUUUACUUUGAAAAAAUUAGAGUGUUCAAAGCAGGCCUUUGCUCGAAUACAUUAGCAUGGAAUAAUAGAAUAGGACGUGCGGUCCUAUUUUGUUGGUUUCUAGGACCGCCGUAAUGAUUAAUAGGGAUAGUCGGGGGCAUCAGUAUUCAAUUGUCAGAGGUGAAAUUCUUGGAUUUAUUGAAGACUAACUACUGCGAAAGCAUUUGCCAAGGAUGUUUUCAUUAAUCAGUGAACGAAAGUUAGGGGAUCGAAGACGAUCAGAUACCGUCGUAGUCUUAACCGUAAACUAUGCCGACUAGGGAUCGGGCGAUGUUAUUCUUUUGACUCGCUCGGCACCUUACGAGAAAUCAAAGUCUUUGGGUC